UCUGCAGGUCAUAUCUCAGCAACCCAAAG
Molecule: non-coding RNA, 29 nt
Filed under: Rattus norvegicus (Norway rat)
Lineage: Eukaryota; Metazoa; Chordata; Mammalia; Rodentia; Muridae
Source: RNAcentral